GGGAAACAGCCCAGACUACCAUAUAAGGCCCCUAAAUAUUUGCUAAGUGGCAAAGGAGGUAAAAAUACAUAGACAACCAGGAGGUUGACUUAGAGGCAGUAAUCCUUUAAAAAGUGCGUAAUAGCUUACUGGUCAAGUGUUUUUGCGCCGAAAAUGAACGGGACUAAGCAAAUUGCCGAAUAUGUAGGAUAUUUUAUCGGUAGAAGAGCGUACUGUUUUGGUGCGAAGCAUAUAUGAAAAUAUAUGUGGACUAUGCAGUAGUGAGAAUGUCGGCUUAAGUAACGAAAACAAUGGUUGAAAUCCAUUGCUCCGUAAACCUAAGGUUUCCUUUGCAAGGUUCGUCCACAAAGGGUUAGUCAGGUUCUAAAAUGAUGUUUAAAAACGUAGUUGAUGAUUAACAGGUGAAUAUUCCUGUACUAUAUGUUAUUUGCUAAGAGUGACGGAGACGAUAUAUCAUUCUGAUCGAAUAUUGGUUAUUUCGAUUCAAUAAUUCUUUGUUGUAAAUUUAUUAUAAAAAAUAUUUUGAGUCUAGGGUUAUUGUAAAAGACAUUACGGUGUCAUAAUUGAGUGUUUAUUUACUUCCAAGAAAAACUUUUGUAGUUUAGAAUAGCAUAUACCUGUACCGUAAACUGACACAGGUGGGUUGGUAGAAAAUACUAAGGAGCGCGAUAUAACACCUUUUAAGGAACUCGGCAAAAUGACUCCGUAACUUAGGGAGAAGGAGUGCCCAUUUAAAAAUGGGCCGCAGAAAAUAGAUCCAUGCGACAGUUUAUCAAAAACUCAGGUCUCUGCUAAGUUGAAAAACGAUGUAUAGGGGCUGACGCCUGCCCAGUGCCGGACGGUUAAAGAAAUUGGUUAGCUCACGCGAAGCUGAUGACUGAAGCCCCGGUGAACGGCAGCAAUAAAUAUAAUUGUUCUAAGGUAGCGAAAUUCCUUGUCAGGUAAGUUCUGACCCGCACGAAAGGCGUAACGAUAUGGAUGCUGUCUCAAAAGGUGAGUCGGUGAAAUAGAAUUGACUGUGAAGAUGCGGUCUACCUACACUUGGACAGAAAGACCCUAUGAAGCUUUACUAUAACCUGAUAUUGAUUUUGGAUUUCUUUUGCGCAGAAUAGGUAGGAGGCAUUGAUUCGCUUUUUCGGAAGUUGAUGAGCCUAAAAGUGAGAUACUACUCUUAAAAAAUUUGAAUUCUAAUAAUAUUUAAUUUAGUGAUAUUUGACAUUUUCAGGUGGAUAGUUUUACUGGGGCGGUAACCUCCUAAAAGGUAACGGAGGUGUGCAAAGGUUUUUUCAAUUUGUGUGGAAAUCAAAUGUAGAGUGUAAAGGUAUAAGAAAGCUUGAUUGUGAGACUUACAAGUCAAACAAAGACGAAAGUCGGCCUUAGUGAUCCGACAGUGCCGAAUGGAAGGGCUGUCGCUAAACGGAUAAAAGUUACUCUAGGGAUAACAGGCUGAUCUCCAACAAGAGUUCACAUCGACUUGGAGGUUUGGCACCUCGAUGUCGGCUCAUCGCAUCCUGAGGCAGUAGUAUGUUUCAAGGGUUGGGCUGUUCGCCCAUUAAAGCGGUACGUGAGCUGGGUUCAGAACGUCGAGAGACAGUUCGGUCCAUAUCCGGUGUGGGCGUUAGAACAUUGAAAAUUGCUUUUCUUAGUACGAGAGGACCGGAAAAGUAACACCUCUAGUGUACCAGUUUUGGUUCCAACCGAAUACGCUGGGUAGCUAUGUGUUGAGUGGAUAACUGC
This 1737-nucleotide ribosomal RNA is filed under the name Trachelomonas sp. Silo101703K. RNAcentral's name for it is "LSU rRNA". It matches the Rfam family "Bacterial large subunit ribosomal RNA", at positions 1017 to 2771 of the family's 2925-position model. The record is from RNAcentral. Lineage: Eukaryota; Euglenozoa; Euglenophyceae; Euglenales; Euglenaceae.